AGAGUUUGAUCCUGGCUCAGAAUGAACGCUGGCGGCGUGCCUAACACAUGCAAGUCGGAUGUGCCGCAAGGUGCAUGGCAGACGGGUGAGUAACGCGUAGGGAAUCUACCUUUUUGUGGGGAAUAACGCUCCGAAAGGAGUGGUAAUACCGCAUGAGACCGCAGACUGGGAUGUUUGUGGUGAAACCUGGGGACCGCAAGGCCUGGGGCAAGAAGAGGAUCCUGCGUCUGAUUAGCUAGUUGGCGGGGUAAUGGCCCACCAAGGCGACGAUCAGUAGCCGGCCUGAGAGGGUGAUCGGCCACACUGGAAUUGAGACACGGUCCAGACUCCUACGGGAGGCAGCAGUGGGGAAUUUUGCGCAAUGGACGAGAGUCUGACGCAGCAACGCCGCGUGGGUGAUGAAGGUCUUCGGAC
Molecule: ribosomal RNA, 414 nt
Filed under: uncultured bacterium
Lineage: Bacteria
Description: bacterial SSU rRNA
Rfam family: Bacterial small subunit ribosomal RNA
Source: RNAcentral